RNAcentral lists this ribosomal RNA (1354 nucleotides) under human gut metagenome. RNAcentral's name for it is "bacterial LSU rRNA". It matches the Rfam family "Bacterial large subunit ribosomal RNA", at positions 909 to 2279 of the family's 2925-position model. The record is from RNAcentral.
ACUGAUUGGAUGCGAGGGCUUCACCGCCUAUCAAGUCCAGACAAACUCCGAAUGCGUAUUAUAUGAUUCCACGGAGUGAGGGCAUGGGUGCUAAGGUCCAUGUCCGAGAGGAGAAGAAUCCAGACCACCUGCUAAGGUCCCGAAAUAAUGCUUAAGUUGAGAAAACGAAGUCAGAUUGCAAAGACAGCUAGGAUGUUGGCGUUGAAGCAGCCAUUCAUUUAAAGAGUGCGUAACAGCUCACUAGUCGAGGAAUUUGGCAUGGAUAAUAAUCGGGCAUAAAGCAUUUACCGAAGCAGUGGAAUCAGCAAUGAUUGGUAGGGGAGCAUUCCGGCGGCGUCGAAGAUGGAGGAUGACCUCUGUUGGAGCUUCCGGAAAAGCAAAUGUAGGUAUAAGUAACGAUAAAGGAGGUGGGAAACCUCCUCGCCGAAAGACUAAGGUUUCCUGAUCAACGUUAAUCGGAUCAGGGUAAGUCGGGACCUAAGGAUAAGCCGAACGGCGAGGCCGAUGGAAGAAACGGUUAAUAUUCCGUUACUACUUUAAUGAGUGACGUGGAGACGGAGAAGUGACAGUCCUGCCGGCUGACGGAAUAGCCGGUUGAAGGGUGUAGGAGUAGAUCCUUGCAGGCAAAUCCACAAGGAGAUCCGAACCUGAGAGUAUGGAGCGCACCCCGGUGCAAUCCAAAAUGGGCGUAAUCAGGCUCCCGAGAAAAUCCGCUAAACCUAAUCAUUGAAGUACCCGUACCACAAACGGACACACGUAGUUGGGUUGAAAAUACUGAGGCGCUCGAGUGAGUCACGGUUAAGGAACUAGGCAAAAUGGUCCUGUAACUUCGGGAUAAAGGACGCCAAUCGUAAGAUUGGCCGCAGAGAAUAGGCCCAGGCGACUGUUUAACAAAAACACAUGGCUGUGCGAAAUAGUAACAUGAAGUAUACAGCCUGACACCUGCCCGGUGCUGGAAGGUUAAGAGGAGGACUCAGCGCAAGCGAAGGUCUGAAUUGAAGCCCCAGUAAACGGCGGCCGUAACUAUAACGGGCCUAAGGUAGCGAAAUUCCUUGUCGGGUAAGUUCCGACCUGCACGAAUGGUGUAACGAUCUGGGCACUGUCUCAACCGUGAGCUCGGUGAAAUUGUAGUAUCGGUGAAGAUGCCGAUUACCCGCGAUGGGACGAAAAGACCCCGUGAACCUUUACUAUAGCUUUACAUUGAAUUUGGGCAAUUGAUGUGUAGGAUAGGCCGGAGGCAGAGAAGCCGGUACGCCAGUAUUGGUGGAGCCGCCGUUGAAAUACGGCCCUUUGAUUGUUUGAGUUCUAACUUGCGUGAUGCGAGGACACUGUAUGGUGGGUAGUUUGACUGGGG